AUGCAGGCCAUCAAGCGUGUGGUGGUGGGAGACGGAGCUGUAGGUAAAACUUGCCUACUGAUCAGUUACACAACCAAUGCAUUUCCUGGAGAGUACAUCCCCACUGUCUUUGACAACUACUCUCCCAAUGUUAUGGUAGAUGGAAAACCGGUGAAUCUGGGCUUAUGGGAUACAGCUGGACAAGAAGAUUAUGACCGAUUACGUCCCUUAUCCUAUCCGCAAACAGAUGUAUUCUUAAUUUGCUUUUCUCUUGUGAGUCCUGCAUCAUUUGAAAAUGUUCGAGCAAAGUGGUACCCCGAAGUGUGACACCACUGUCCCAACACCCCCAUCAUCUUGGUGGGGACUAAACUUGAUCUCAGGGACGACAAAGACACGAUCGAGAAGCUGAAGGAAAAGAAGCUGACACCCAUCACCUACCCGCAGGGUCUAGCCAUGGCUAAGGAGAUCGGUGCGGUAAAAUACCUGGAGUGCUCGGCACUCACGCAGCGAGGCCUCAAGACAGUGUUUGAUGAAGCGAUCCGAGCAGUUCUCUGCCCCCCUCCCGUCAAGAAGAGGAAGAGAAAAUGCCUGCUGUUGUAAAUGUCCGGGCCCGCCCCCGCCCCGUCCCCGCCCCGUCCCCCUCGGAACCUUUGUACGCUUUGCUCAAAAAUGGUGGAGCCUUCGCACUCGAUGCCAAGUUUUUGUUACAGAUUAGUUUUUCCAUAAAACCAUUCUGAACCAAC
RNA transcript from Odobenus rosmarus divergens (Pacific walrus), 722 nucleotides. It is a transcript of the gene named ras-related C3 botulinum toxin substrate 1-like, with no coding region annotated. The transcript has a single exon. Lineage: Eukaryota; Metazoa; Chordata; Mammalia; Carnivora; Odobenidae. The record is from RefSeq and is a predicted model, not a curated record.